UACGUAGGGUGCAAGCGUUAAUCGGAAUUACUGGGCGUAAAGCGUGCGCAGGCGGUGAUGUAAGACAGUUGUGAAAUCCCCGGGCUCAACCUGGGAACUGCAUCUGUGACUGCAUCGCUGGAGUGCGGCAGAGGGGGAUGGAAUUCCGCGUGUAGCAGUGAAAUGCGUAGAGAUGUGGAGGAACACCGAUGGCGAAGGCAGCCCCCUGGGCUAACACUGACGCUCAUGCACGAAAGCGUGGGGAGCAAACAGG
RNAcentral lists this ribosomal RNA (253 nucleotides) under uncultured bacterium. Its description in RNAcentral is "partial 16S ribosomal RNA". It matches the Rfam family "Bacterial small subunit ribosomal RNA", at positions 524 to 776 of the family's 1533-position model. The record is from RNAcentral.